RNAcentral lists this long non-coding RNA (735 nucleotides) under Homo sapiens (human). RNAcentral's name for it is "non-protein coding lnc-ADGRF5-1:1". The record is from RNAcentral. Lineage: Eukaryota; Metazoa; Chordata; Mammalia; Primates; Hominidae.
AGAGUAAAGCAAAGCUUUGUUGAGAAUCAUUUUUAGUCAGAGCACUGUUUUUCCUCCAUUUUCCUCCAUGGGUUUCUCUUCCAGUAACAAAUGUGAUCCAAAGAAAUGUAAGCAUAGACAUGAAAAGGGAUAAUGCCGCCUUUAAAACUGUUUUCUAGUUUGUUGUUAGAAGUUAUAAAAAUACACAGGAACACAGCAUUCACUUGAAAAUAAAUUUUUAGGCAUUUUAAAUAGAUUAAAGCAGAAGAAAGAGUGAGAAAGUAACCAUUCUAAAUUCUUAAAAAGAGAAUAGCACCUAUGAAAAUGAAAUAAAGAAUCAUGAAUAACAUCAGGAAGUCAGGAAAUGCAGACCAACAGUAAAAGAAUGCUAUUAAUGUCCAAAUGACUUAUUUUUAUUUUGUGCAGCAAAACUCAUCAGAUUUAUCUGCCAAACCCAAAUUCUCAAAGCCUUUCAACCCACUGCAAAACAAAGGCCAUUAUGCAUUUUCUCAUACUGGAGAUUCCUCCGACAACAUCAUGCUAACUCAGUUUGUCUCAAAUGAAUAAGGCAAGGAAUCAUAAAAUCAAGAAAAAAUUUCCAGAACAACUUGACAUUUAGAGACAAAUGUCAAUGAAGAAAUUAUGCUCAGUAUUCGAUCGGGUUUUCUGAUUUAGGGGUCUGGGAAUAAAACAAGAAUGUCUCAGUGGCUUCAUUACUGCUCCCUUUUGUCUUCAAUUAAAUGAAAAGAAGAUUUA